AGGACGAACGCUGGCGGCGUGCUUAACACAUGCAAGUCGAGCGGUGAUCCUCCUUCGGGAGGUGAGCAGCGGCGAACGGGUGAGUAACACGUGGGCAACCUGCCCCUCACACUGGGAUAACCUCGGGAAACCGGGGCUAAUACCGGAUAUGACCUCGAGCGGCAUCUCUUGAGGUGGAAAGCUCCGACGGUGAGGGAUGGGCCCGCGGCCUAUCAGCUUGUUGGUGGGUAAUGGCCUACCAAGGCGACGACGGGUAGCCGGCCUGAGAGGGCGACCGGCCACACUGGGACUGAGACACGGCCCAGACUCCUACGGGAGGCAGCAGUGGGGAAUAUUGCGCAAUGGGCGAAAGCCUGACGCAGCGACGCCGCGUGAGGGAUGAAGGCCUUCGGGUUGUAAACCGUCUUUCAGCAGGGACGAAGCGAAAGUGACGGUACCUGCAGAAGAAGCACCGGCUAACUACGCGCCAGCAGCCGCGAA
This 480-nucleotide ribosomal RNA is filed under the name uncultured bacterium. Its description in RNAcentral is "SSU rRNA". It matches the Rfam family "Bacterial small subunit ribosomal RNA", at positions 26 to 521 of the family's 1533-position model. The record is from RNAcentral.